Molecule: long non-coding RNA, 1988 nt
Filed under: Nicotiana tabacum (common tobacco)
Lineage: Eukaryota; Viridiplantae; Streptophyta; Magnoliopsida; Solanales; Solanaceae
Description: long non-coding RNA (NTAB_LNC005439)
Source: RNAcentral
UGGAAUUUUAUUCAAUGAGCAGUGUAUCUUAAUCAUCAACUGGCGAAUUAGACUCUAAAUUGUAGUGCUUUUAUUUGACUCCAAACAUGUGAAUAAUAUAAAAGAAUUUAUAUGAACAAAGGCAAAAAAUGUAGUGCUUUUAUUUGACUUCAAACAUGUUAGUACAAGUGAAGAAGCUGAUGACAGCACUUUAACUUUAUGAGUUUUUCAGACCCUACAUCCACAUUUAAAGAGCAAGGGUAUAGUGAAACUCAUUUUUACAGCAUACUAAGAAAUCAAGAAAAAAAUCCCAUUCUGAAAAACUCAAAUAAAAUUAUAGCUUCAGUAGAAUCCAAUAUGAUCAUUUGUAAUGCAGCUUCACCAAGAGGUUCCCCCUGCAAAAGCAGGGACUUGGAUCAACUACACCUCAUAUUAAAAUGAUUAUAUCAUCAUUAGCAAUUAAGCGCUUGAAACAACGUAAAGUUAUCUCCAUACGACCUAAUUGUCAUGGGCUCGAACGGUAGAAACAGACACUUAUGCUUGCAUUGUUGCUCAGACCCUCCAUAAACACAAGACGCUUCGCACAUCGAGCAAUAAAAACAAAAACUUUUACUAGAUAUGAUGCAAUUAUAUAAAUUGAGUCACUUACUAAAAGUACUUUUUUAUAAGGAAAACUGAAAGAAGAUUAAAGAGACCUCAGAAAUUAAGGUAAAUUUAAAAUCAAAGGAGCUGUUAAACUCCUCAUAUGGUACGGACAAUUACCAUACAUCACUGGCCUCUUAAUAACCAAAAUCAAUCAUUUCUUAAUAACACACUUUAAAACAUUUUUUCCAACCAUAAAAGCUAAGACUAAGUGUAAAACGUAAUUUUCUUAAUGAAAUUGAGGCUCAGAUAAUUAAACAGCUCUAUCAAUCACGGAAUUUCAGAAGCAGAACUGGCAUUAAAGCUGUAUUUAUAUAUCAUCACUGCCAAAAUUCAAAUAAGCUGAAUAAUUUUUCUUUUGUCAAAAAUUCACUUUAUUCUAAAAUAAAGUGAAAAAUAAGAAAAUAUAGGCUCAUAUUAAGAAAUUCAACCAUUAUUUUAUCGUUUGCUUCAUAGAUUACUCUCAGAAGCGCGGAUAAAUUUUUAAAUCAUAGCCAACAUAUUAAAAAAUCCCAAAUUAGAAAAACAAAAACUUCCAAUAAAAAGUAUACAAUAUAGCAGUGGACUUAGGAGUAAAACAGUAAGAAAAAUGCAAUAAACCCCACGUUGACACUGCUAUUUUAAUUUCAGCCUCGUUGACUAGCUUUGUUUUUUCACUGAAUCAGAAGAAAAUAAGCUAAAGGUGAUAUGAGGCAUUUUUUUGUUAAAUUAAAAACAAAUUAACACAGAAAUAUUGUAAAGAGGAUUUAAUGUAGCCGUUGAUUUUGACACAGAUAAAGCCAAGGGUAAAGAAGGUACAAAAGGGCUAAACUGCAACACUAGCGGCGGUAGAUAUAGCACGAGCUUUGGGGCUGCUAACUUCAUGUAAAAAUUGCUCAGGCGAGACCGGGAGGCUACGUGCAGACUGCAGACUUACAAUUUUGCUUAGCUGAAAUGAAACGAAAAGAGAAAAAUAAGUACACAAGUAAAGGUAAAUGACCUCAGAUCAAUGAUUUGAAGGUUCAUAUCGUUAUUUUGAACAUGUUCAUUUACUCUGAUUCCGACCAUUAUUUCAGACGCCAUUGGAGGGAAGAGGAGAAGAGGUAGGGUAUUAUAAUAAGGAGGAGGCUAUAUAAGAAGCAGAGCUGUGGCUUAGUUAUAUAGAAGAGAGGAGGGGGUCAGUGAAACCCUAAUUGCGCCGUUGUGGAUCUGUGAAGCUAAUGGGCUCUUCUUUCCACAAUUAAAAUGUAAGAAUAUGAAUUCAUAUAUAAAAGAAAUAAAUUGAAGUCAAGUAUAGAAGGAGAUUGAUAUUUUAUUCAAUUUUCAAAAUUAUGUUCAUAAUGAACUGAAAACUUCUCUAUUUAUAGAAGAAAGGAAGCAGCUGCGAG